CAUAGGUUUCUUGUUGGUUGAUUUCUCUAUGCUAUAGAGAAUGAUAUUAAGAAUUUUAGAUUGUACUCGAGUGAUUACUUGAGACCUAGAUUAGAUGUUAUUCCAAAGUAUUGAUUUGCUAAUUGAUUAAGUAAAUAUUAAGUUUUAACCAUGUUGAGUGUUCAUAAAUGUAAGUGAUUUUCCAAUUAAUAGAUGAUCGCUUCUAUGUAUGUGUCUAUGUAUAAAAAUAGAAUUCAUGUUGAGGCAUGAGUUUCUAGAAAGUAAUGAUAUUGACCUUGUAUGCACAUGUAUAUGUGUUUGAUGCAGAUGAUGAAUUGAGACAGCACAAAAAGGGCUAUGUUUGCGCAGGUACUGAAGAUUAUGGAAUGGAUUAACUGCUAGCUUAAGAGAUUUAUAGCUGUGUAGUUAGGAUUUUAGUACUUUGUACUCAUAGAUGUUUGUACUAUUUGCUUGUAAUAUGUCUAGACAUUUACUUGUAAUUAAUAAGUUUCAUGCAGGCUUUAGUGUCAUAUGUGACACAUGUUUCUUUGUAAAUAGUGUAAAGAUUUUUAAUGUAUUUUCUAGAAGAUGUCAGUUAAAGCUCUGAA
Alnus glutinosa is the source of this 587-nucleotide long non-coding RNA. RefSeq lists it as uncharacterized. The record is from RefSeq and is a predicted model, not a curated record. The transcript is spliced from 2 exons. NCBI's taxonomy places the organism in Eukaryota, Viridiplantae, Streptophyta, Magnoliopsida, Fagales, Betulaceae.